UCCUUUUUUAAAAGCUCAAAACUAUCCUUCAUAUGAUCAAUCUCUUAAAUAGACACCCUUCUCUCAAGUUUCAAAUUUUUUCGAAAUUUUUUCAUCAUUUUUUUUGAAUUUUUCUAGCCAUAAGUCGACCCAUAGGGUCGACCCCAGGAUAAACUUGUAAUUUUCAUUAAAACCCAUCGGACGCUCUGUUUUAUUGAAAAAUCUCUUUUUGUAAAUGAGCCGACCCUUUGCCUUUCGUC
RNAcentral lists this long non-coding RNA (239 nucleotides) under Elaeis guineensis (African oil palm). Its description in RNAcentral is "long non-coding RNA (EGUI_LNC080643)". The record is from RNAcentral. Lineage: Eukaryota; Viridiplantae; Streptophyta; Magnoliopsida; Arecales; Arecaceae.